RNAcentral lists this ribosomal RNA (341 nucleotides) under uncultured bacterium. RNAcentral's name for it is "bacterial SSU rRNA". It matches the Rfam family "Bacterial small subunit ribosomal RNA", at positions 8 to 350 of the family's 1533-position model. The record is from RNAcentral.
AGAGUUUGAUCCUGGCUCAGGAUGAACGCUAGCUACAGGCUUAACACAUGCAAGUCGAGGGGCAGCAUGUUGGUUGCUUGCAACCAAUGAUGGCGACCGGCGCACGGGUGAGUAACGCGUAUCCAACCUACCCUUGUCCAUCGGAUAACCCGUCGAAAGGCGGCCUAACACGAUAUGCGGUUCUCAGCAGGCAUCUAACGAGAACGAAAUGUGAAGGAGAAGGAUGGGGAUGCGUCUGAUUAGCUUGUGGCGGGUAACGCCACAAGGCACGAUCAGUAGGGGUCUGAGAGGAAGGUCCCCCANAUUGGAACUGAGACACGGUCCAAAACUCCUAGGGAGCA